Molecule: transfer RNA, 77 nt
Filed under: Quinella sp. 1Q5
Lineage: Bacteria; Bacillati; Bacillota; Negativicutes; Veillonellales; Veillonellaceae
Also listed under: 4 other names
Description: tRNA-Arg
Rfam family: tRNA
About the family: Transfer RNA (tRNA) molecules are approximately 80 nucleotides in length.
Source: RNAcentral
GCGGUUGUAGCUCAGCAGGAUAGAGCAACUGCCUCCUAAGCAGUAGGUCGGGCGUUCGAAUCGCCCCAAUCGCACCA